GACGAACGCUGGCGGCGUGCUUAACACAUGCAAGUCGAACGGAAAGGCCCUGCUUUUGUGGGGUGCUCGAGUGGCGAACGGGUGAGUAACACGUGAGUAACCUGCCCUUGACUUUGGGAUAACUUCAGGAAACUGGGGCUAAUACCGGAUAGGAGCUCCUGCUGCAUGGUGGGGGUUGGAAAGUUUCGGCGGUUGGGGAUGGACUCGCGGCUUAUCAGCUUGUUGGUGGGGUAGUGGCUUACCAAGGCUUUGACGGGUAGCCGGCCUGAGAGGGUGACCUGCCACAUUGGGACUGAGAUACGGCCCAGACUCCUACGGGAGGCAGCAGUGGGGAAUAUUGCACAAUGGGCGGAAGCCUGAUGCAGCAACGCCGCGUGCGGGAUGACGGCCUUCGGGGUGUAAACCGCUUUCGCCUGUGACGAAGCGUGAGUGACGGUAAUGGGUAAAGAAGCACCGGCUAACUACGUG
RNAcentral lists this ribosomal RNA (468 nucleotides) under uncultured bacterium. Its description in RNAcentral is "partial 16S ribosomal RNA". It matches the Rfam family "Bacterial small subunit ribosomal RNA", at positions 28 to 507 of the family's 1533-position model. The record is from RNAcentral.